CUGGCGGAAGUGUAGCUGUUCCUCAGUAGUCACUUCUUCUUCAUCACUCCGUUUCUUCUUCAUCACUCCGUCCUUUCUCUCUUCUUUGUUUUGAUUAUUGAGGACGGGUAAAAGAAGAUAGACUCCAAAUUAUCUGGUUCCCUCUAGUUUUACUUGUCUACGCUCUCAUCGGAACCACUACUUGAACGGGCAGAACAAAUUCCUUCGGAAAGACAUGAAGAUAAUUCUAUCUUUCUGUUAGCUACUGCUGGGGUAAGAAGAUUGCGAGUCAUGAUGCAGCUUGGAUUUUCGAAAAUGCAGAAACUCCUGUUGAUGUGCAGGAAAACUUCUAUAAGGAUACUAACUGGACAGGAAGAGGCUUAUUAUAGUUGAAUCGCUCUUAACUACAAAAUGUGGACACUGAACAGUUCUUCCAGUUUACCCACUUUUAGGAGUUCUAGAUUUAGGCUGUUCGUCGUUGCAGGUUGUGAUGGAAAUCAAAGAACUGACGGAUGAUAAAUUUACUGUAGCUAAAAUUUGGUUCAGUUCAGCAUCAAAUUUUGGCAUAUUCACUGCCCAGAUUUGGUCUAAACGAGGUAUUUGAAAGGACAGUUAUCAUGCCUAGUGAAGAGAUUCACUCACAGAGAGUGUUGAUUGCAGAUUUCAGCUCAGACAUCCUUGUCUCAGUGUGAGAUUUGUUCUGAACCAUUCUUGUGAUAGCUGUUACCUACAACAUCCCCACUUCAAACAAUAUUGCUGGUCAAUUUCAAAGAAAUCGGUCCACUUUGUUUUCUCUGAUAGGGGAUCCAAAUUGGAAGCAAUGUAAAAGAAUUGCUUAGGCUGCUGCAACCCAUUCGAAAAACUUUGAUUGGUCACGAUUAACUGAGGGUAAGAACUGCAAAGGACGGUCGUCUUCCUCUAACAGCACAUAUUCAAAUUUGUUGUCCGUCCCUCAUCUAGUUUCACGGUUUCAUGCCUUAACUGGAUUUUUUUUGCCAUUUAGAGUAUGCUAGAAUUGAAUCCAAGAGCUAAUUUGACAAAAAUUUGGAAGAAAGGCGUGCAAAUAUGUUCUGGGUCGUGGAUCGACUCAAAGAAAAUUUCUGGAAACAGAAAAUAUGCUGAUCAAUUCUGUUUUCGAGUUCCAUAUUUGGCAUCUCUCCUUGAGGGAUGCAGAAAUUAACUUCGGUCCUGGAGAUGUUUCUUGGACGUUUGGAGCUGCACUGGUUGAAGGAGAGCACAAAUAGCUAAGUACUGAAGAACCUCAGACUGGUAGUUAUAACCUAAAGCUUACGAAGGUCAUCCCUUAUCCCAUUUCUUUAUUUAUGAUAUGUUUGUGUCUUGUUUUGAUUGUUUACGGGGAUCGGGUUAGGCAGACAGCAUUGUUGUUGGUGUCUGUGCCAGGUAAAAUGGGUGCUUCCACUAGGGCAUCAUUGCCAUCUUACGUUUGUCCAAAACGGCAACUAAAUUAGUCACUGUUACUGCUUCAGUUAGAAAACACAAACUAACCUUAGCAUUUUUUUCUUUUGCCGAUGUAUACUUGUAAUUUUUUCUGUGUAUUUCUUCUUUAGUGUCCAUCGUGCUCUUUUCCGCAUCUUUCCUAUUAGAGGAGAUAUGCCAUCAAUAAUUUACAUGUAAAGGUGUUGUAUCGGUCUAACUUAUCUUAACAAAAAGAAUUUCUGCUCUUGUCUUGCUUUUGAGCUUUGAUGUAGGUGGGACUGAAAAUCAUUUAAUAUAGGUUUUAGGAUUUAAAUAUGCUGAAUUUUUUUUUCUUUUUCUUGUUUGAAGUAUGAGGUUAAUAGGUCUAUGGAGAAUUCGGGGAAACUAUCAUCUAUUGGGUAGUUCUGGAAAGGUAAACCAAGUUUAGUUAAACUAAUCAAUUUGAAUCACUGGCUAUUCUGAUUAGUAAGCAACAUAUUCAAACUAGUAAUUGAUUGUCGACAUACCUUAUACCACUCAGUCUCACCCCAAGGCCCAAAUUUUUGAGUGUUAGUAUGGGAAAAAUUAGGUUGUAUAUGGAAUAAAUGGACCCCACACAAGAGAGGAGCAAAAGUAAGCAACUGUCACACUGGUUGGGUUGUCAGGGUCUGAUGAUUGAAUGCGAUGCAGCACUUGUUUAUUAAUGUGUUUUACAUGUUAUACUAUGUUUCUGUGCUGUUCUUUCCUCCUUUCUCUUUUUUCGUUUUUCCUCGUUCUGUUUAUAGGUAGAAAAGAAAGU
Long non-coding RNA from Papaver somniferum (opium poppy), 2194 nucleotides. RefSeq lists it as uncharacterized. The transcript has 3 exons. The record is from RefSeq and is a predicted model, not a curated record. Lineage: Eukaryota; Viridiplantae; Streptophyta; Magnoliopsida; Ranunculales; Papaveraceae.